This 301-nucleotide ribosomal RNA is filed under the name uncultured bacterium. RNAcentral describes it as "partial 16S ribosomal RNA". It matches the Rfam family "Bacterial small subunit ribosomal RNA", at positions 509 to 807 of the family's 1533-position model. The record is from RNAcentral.
CAGUCGCCACGGGAAUACGUAGGUGGCAAGCGUUGUCCGGAAUUAUUGGGCGUAAUGGGCUCGCAGGCGGUUUCUUAAGUCUGAUGUGAAAGCCCCCGGCUCAACCGGGGAGGGUCAUUGGAAACUGGGAAACUUGAGUGCGGAAGAGGAGAGUGGAAUUCCACGUGUAGCGGUGAAAUGCGUAGAGAUGUGGAGGAACACCAGUGGCGAAGGCGACUCUCUGGUCUGUAACUGACGCUGAGGAGCGAAAGCGUGGGGAGCGAACAGGAUUAGAUACCCGCGUAGUCCCUGUCUCUUAUAC